Molecule: long non-coding RNA, 290 nt
Filed under: Drosophila melanogaster (fruit fly)
Lineage: Eukaryota; Metazoa; Arthropoda; Insecta; Diptera; Drosophilidae
Description: long non-coding RNA:CR45615 (Dmel_CR45615)
Source: RNAcentral
AAUAACUCGAGCUUAAAAUUAAGCCACAUCGUUCAAAAUAAUCCAUAAGAUAUAAAAUGUACGACACCGAUACACAAAAUAAUCCAUAAGAUACAAAAUGUACGACACAGAUACACAAAAUAAUCCAUAAGACACAAGAACACGCUACAACAUAAUCAACCAGACACAAAAUACAUUUCGAAACAUAAAAAUAAACGUUAAGAUACACAUACAUAAAUAUAUCCAUUAGAUGCAACGUAUAUCUAAAAUGAACAUAAGCCCACCGAUGAAAAGGUCGUUGAGCUACCGCU